UACGUAGGGGGCUAGCGUUGUCCGGAAUCAUUGGGCGUAAAGAGCGUGUAGGCGGCCCGGUAAGUCCGCUGUAAAAGUCAAAGGCUCAACCUUUGAAUGUCAGUGGAUACUGCCGGGCUAGAGUCCGGAAGAGGCGAAUGGAACUCCUGGUGUAGCGGUGGAAUGCGCAGAUAUCAGGAAGAACACCAACGGCGAAGGCAGCUCGCUGGGACGGUACUGACGCUGAGACGCGAAAGCGUGGGGAGCGAACAGG
Molecule: ribosomal RNA, 253 nt
Filed under: uncultured bacterium
Lineage: Bacteria
Description: partial 16S ribosomal RNA
Rfam family: Bacterial small subunit ribosomal RNA
Source: RNAcentral